Molecule: ribosomal RNA, 1244 nt
Filed under: uncultured bacterium
Lineage: Bacteria
Description: bacterial SSU rRNA
Rfam family: Bacterial small subunit ribosomal RNA
Source: RNAcentral
UGGGGGAUAGCCUUUGGAAACGAAGAUUAAUACCCCAUAGUAUGUACGAGCGGCAUCGUUUGUAUUUUAAAGUUUCGAUGGUAUAAGAUGACUAUGCGUUCUAUUAGCUAGUUGGUAAGGUAACGGCUUACCAAGGCUACGAUAGAUAGGGGUCCUGAGAGGGAGAUCCCCCACACUGGUACUGAGACACGGACCAGACUCCUACGGGAGGCAGCAGUGAGGAAUAUUGGACAAUGGAGGCAACUCUGAUCCAGCCAUGCCGCGUGUAGGAAGACUGCCCUAUGGGUUGUAAACUACUUUUAUAUGGGAAGAAUAAGGUCUACGUGUAGACUGAUGACGGUACCAUAAGAAUAAGCACCGGCUAACUCCGUGCCAGCAGCCGCGGUAAUACGGAGGGUGCAAGCGUUAUCCGGAAUCAUUGGGUUUAAAGGGUCCGUAGGCGGGCAUAUAAGUCAGUGGUGAAAGUCUGUGGCUCAACCAUAGAAUUGCCAUUGAUACUGUAUGUCUUGAAUUAUUGUGAAGUGGUUAGAAUAUGUAGUGUAGCGGUGAAAUGCUUAGAGAUUACAUAGAAUACCGAUUGCGAAGGCAGAUCACUAACAAUAUAUUGACGCUGAUGGACGAAAGCGUAGGUAGCGAACAGGAUUAGAUACCCUGGUAGUCUACGCCGUAAACGAUGGAUACUAGUUGUUUGGCCUUUUUGGCUGAGUGACUAAGCGAAAGUGAUAAGUAUCCCACCUGGGGAGUACGUUCGCAAGAAUGAAACUCAAAGGAAUUGACGGGGGCCCGCACAAGCGGUGGAGCAUGUGGUUUAAUUCGAUGAUACGCGAGGAACCUUACCAGGGCUUAAAUGUAGAUUGACAGGACUAGAGAUAGUUUUUUCUUCGGACAAUUUACAAGGUGCUGCAUGGUUGUCGUCAGCUCGUGCCGUGAGGUGUCAGGUUAAGUCCUAUAACGAGCGCAACCCCUGUGGUUAGUUGCCAGCGAGUCAUGUCGGGAACUCUAGCCAGACUGCCGGUGCAAACCGUGAGGAAGGUGGGGAUGACGUCAAAUCAUCACGGCCCUUACGUCCUGGGCCACACACGUGCUACAAUGGUAGGGACAGAGAGCAGCCACUGGGUGACCAGGAGCGAAUCUAUAAACCCUAUCUCAGUUCGGAUUGGAGUCUGCAACUCGACUCCAUGAAGCUGGAAUCGCUAGUAAUCGGAUAUCAGCCAUGAUCCGGUGAAUACGUUCCCGGGCCUUGU